Molecule: long non-coding RNA, 728 nt
Filed under: Monodelphis domestica (gray short-tailed opossum)
Lineage: Eukaryota; Metazoa; Chordata; Mammalia; Didelphimorphia; Didelphidae
Description: lncRNA (ENSMODG00000037606.1)
Source: RNAcentral
ACCAAAGGCAGGNGUUUGUAGUGAAUUUAAAGCUAAUGAAGUGCAUAGGAAAAACUUGAGGAGUCAGGUUGAUAGAGUAGCAUGGACUUGUUAAUCUCAGCCUGAUCUUGUCAGUAACAGCAGAGCAGAGGGAGAGAGAGAGGAACUCCGGCUGGGGCAGCGCUCCAAAGCCCUGACAGGCUUCAGCCAGAGAACUUGGUGUUGUCUUCAGCAAGGGUUCCACCAACACAGCCUCCUCCAGGAAAGGAAGGCCUCUCCAGAACCAAUCUCUCCAGAAGCCAGGAAAGGUAGGCCAGCUGCUCAUCCAGGGAAAGUGUCUCCUCCUUCAGUCCAGCUCACCAACACAGAGUCUCCCAAGACGAACUCCAAAGGAGAAGACCAAAGGCCAAGUACAAAAGACGAAGUCACAAGGUGAAAAGAAGAGGCCAGGCUGAUAUUGAGUUUGCUCCUGUGUUGGGUGAAUUGAGGACAAAGCUGGACAACUUAUGCUCAUGGCUCUCCUAGAGAAGCACAGAGUGAAGCGGCAGCGCCUUGACCGUCUAUUUGAAGUAAAAAUUGGAACAUUUGUUUGUCUCUGGUCCAAUAAUAUAUUUCCUGUUAUCCAUAAAUCUUCAAAGUUCUUAUCAACAUUAACUCAGGAAUCAUAUAUGCAAAAUAUUCUAGAACUCUGGAUUGAAAUUGCUCCAGGCCUAAUUGAUUUGAAUUCAUUUAAGAGUACCUUCUUAUAA